Molecule: non-coding RNA, 9471 nt
Organism: Monodelphis domestica (gray short-tailed opossum)
Lineage: Eukaryota; Metazoa; Chordata; Mammalia; Didelphimorphia; Didelphidae
Source: RefSeq, a predicted model, not a curated record
GUUUGUUGGAUUAGUUGGCCUCCGUGGGAGGGAAGGGAAUCCCAAGUGUCGCUGAAAGCUUCCAUUUCUCUAGCUACUUCCUCCGCUCCCCUAACUGCGAUUUGGGAAUGAGGAGGGGCUCUCGGAACCUCUGCGUCGCCUCACCCCCUGCCCCGGAGAAUACACCUAAAGCGAGUCUUCAACCUUAUCUGUGAGAUCCCGGGUUAGUUUAACCCAUUCUCAUUUUACAUAAGAGGAAACUGAGGCUCAGGGAUAAUGAUACGAACUUAACAUUUGUGUUGCUUAUAGCUGUUAAGCGCUUUGCAAAUUACCCCCUUUUACAUGGGAGGAAACUGAGGCCCAGGGAUACUGGUGACGAAGUAGAUAAGAGUGCUGGUUCAAGACCUCACUGGUUGUGACUGGGCAAGCCACUUAACUGUUUGCCUCUGUUUCCUCAUCUGUAAAAUGAGCCGGAGAAAGCAUUGGCAAAACCCCAAAUGGAGUCACGAAGAGUGGGACACAGUUAAGGCUGAAACUCCUGAAAGGAAGCGUCUGAACAGUGUUUAAAAGCUUUUUUUGACUUGAGUCAUUGUUCUUUCCCCAGUACCACGUUAUUUGGGGAGGGGGAGGAGGCGGUGAAUUCCAGAUCUUUGGUGAGCUGAGAUUAGAGGCAGAACCAUUUUACACCUCGACAGACCAACUGUCGGUACCCAGCACCGACUUCUACCACUAGCUAAAUCGACGGAUCCAUACGGCGCAUGCGCGCGAAGCGGAUCUCUUUGCUCAGCUCUCGCGCAUGGCUAAGUCUCCUUCCCAGCUCGCGCACGGGUUUCAGUCAUCUUUUGCCUUGCUCGCGCACGCGCCUCAAUAUCCCAAGCAGCUCCCGCGCACGUCCCUUUUCCUACCCGCAGCCCUCGAGGGGCGGGAGACGUGGAGCUAAGAAAUCUCAGUGGAGGAGGGCGCGGCGACGGCGGCCGGGGCCAGUUACACCCCCGCCCCUCGCCAGAGUUCCGCCCCCUGGGCCUUAUGGCCAGAGGAAGGGGGGGAGUAGAAAGAUGAGGAAAUUGAACCCCAGAUUAAGUGACUUUUCCUGACAUCAUCUCACACCUAGGAAGUGUGUGAGAUUUUCUUAAGAUUACAGAACUAUGAAGAGUUUCCUUAGACUCAAGGACAAAAAUGAAACAGUUCCUGUCCCUAAGGAGAUUAUAUUUUAUGGAGGUGCUUAAACCUGGGCUCCAGAAAGGCCAUCUCCAUGACCAACUGGCUUUCCUUGGACUCAGAGCAAGGACCCAGGUAGGAGGCAGAAUCUCAGAAGGAGGAAAAUCCCUUGGAGAAAAUCUAGCCUGGAGGUGAGAGUCUAGAACUCUAGGUUGUAGAUCCAGAUCUUUUCUAACAUUUUGUAUCUUCUUUUAUCAUCUGUUAAAUGAGGAUAGAACUCUCUGCCUGUCCUAACUCUCUGACUUUCCAGUCAGUUUCUUGUUGAUCUGAACCUAAGCUUAUAAUCUUGCCCUCAGAGAUCAGGUCCCUGCAUCUGUAUAUAGCCCUCCUCUGUUGCCUCAGGCCCUUCGGGGCCAGGAUGGCAAAGCUUCUUCCCAUCCCUCAUGUCUUCUCCAGGGGUACCUCCUCUGCCAUCUGUGAGAGACACACAGAUAUACUGAGUAUAUAUUUGUGAAAAGUAAUAUGAAGAGAGCCAAUUCACUGUCUCCUAGAGCCUGAGUUCACCAAGAGGCAGUUGGCAAACAGGAUGGCUGUCUGGUCUCAAAUGACCUUGGGUGGGGGAUUAAGAGGGGAGUGGAGAAGGGAAGGUGGGGAGUUUGUGCCUUUUAGGGAAAAACUGUCUGUUUCCAUCCAGGCCUGGGCAGAGAAAAAACUUGGGUGUUUUUUUUUGGUUUGUUUGUUUGUUUGUUUUUGCCAAAAGAUGCCCUGUUCCUUCUAUCUCCCUUGGUUCCUUCUCUUCCUCUGUUACGAGGGAAUUCUCUAUUGUUCCAAUGUGCCAGAAGGAGGGAAGAAGCUGGGAGCCUUAGAUCUUAUUGUCUAGGAUCCAUAGGGACAGCCUAUUGCCCCUCUCUAUGGCCAAAACCAAAUUGGGGAACAAUAGAUUCUGCAUGUCUCUCCUUGAAGGAGGGAGGAGGAGGAGGUAGAAGGUAGGUGUGUCAGCUAGUAUGCAGCUUAAUUAGAGCUUGGAAUGAUGGGCAUAUGAGUAGGGAGGAGAGCUUAUAAGGAGGUGGACAGUUGUUUAGGUGUCUGGCAUCUGAAUUGGAGCAUUUGGGGAAGGGUACAUGUAGACCUGGCUUUGGCAGUCUGGCUCUAGGAGGAUGGAGAGGCCUCCAGCCUGCAGCACAGAUAGCUUAGGGAUUUUAGAUAUCUGGGAUGGCUGAUAGGUUUGUGAGGACCAAGAAGAGAAAGAGGUGAAUACAUCAUGGAAGACGCUGGGGCCCUCAGAGAAGCUGCCCAAGCCAUCUUGACAGAGGAAACACUGCAAGUCAAUCAGUCUACUAGACCGUGGGCUCCUUGAGAGCAGGGACUCUUCUUUCAUCUUUGUAUCCUCAGCAUCAAGUCCUCUGCACAUCGAAGGCUUAGUAAUGUUUGUUGAAUUGGACCAGACCUGGUAUCAGCCACAGAGCUGUCCCCUCCUAUAGGGCUACACAAUCCCUCAGCAGCAAGAAACCUCCAGAGACCCUGCCUGAAGAGAGAGAAUGGGGUGGGCUGGGCUGGGCCAGAGUGGCAGGCAUAAACAUCCUGGCCCUGGCUACCAGAGUGAGCCUGCAGCAAAGGAUGGGGAUGUCAGGGAUCAGCAAGGAAGAGCUCUAGUGCCCCUCCCCACCCCAGUCAAGGUACGUACACUCAGAUUAUUCCCACGAGGCCGGCCCUUUCUCCUCUGUCACAGCCCCACAGGAUGGUGCACACAGAAAGAACAGAAAGAAGAAAAUAAAUAUCAAAGCAAAAAAGGAGAAGGAGGAGCUGGUGGGAGGAGGAGAGUAAUCAUGUAAAAAUGUCACUCAUAGAGUGAGAGGGACAGCAAAGGGAGGAUGGGGAGAGAGAAACCUGAGAAAAAGUGAGGAGAGCAAGAAGAAGGAAAAUCAGAAAAGAUUAAUGUCAUCAGUAAGCAGCCACUCCAGAUAAUUAAUCUCAGAGCGUUUGACACUCUUUAUGCUGGGCAGGUUUGCUUGGUACAAACCAAUCUGCUGACAUAUUAAGAUUGAAAAAGACAGACAGGAAAAGGCCAGACAGAUAGAAAGACAACAGGGAGGCACAUGACUAAUGAAUAUGAGAUCAUGAAAGCAACAUGGAGAUUGGAGCAAGUUUCCCAGCAUCCUGACCAUUGACCUUGCCUCAUGCAAUAAUUCCCCUGACCCUGCCUCCCCAUCAUAUGCAGGUGGCCUCCACAGCUCAUUUUUGCCAUUGCUAAAAGCUGCAGUGUUAUGGCCCUAGCUUUCUCAUCUCACUGAUGCUGGCAAGACCCUGGUGGGCCUGAUUGCCAAAGUUCUUCAUGUUUCUUUAGGUUUCUUAGAGAUUGAGGGUGUGUGAACAUGUGGUUCUAGGGCAUUCAGUUCUCUGUAGGACAAGGUAUCCAGCCUGUCCACUGGUCCCCCUAACCUGGCCCCCAAAGCCCUUCCCUUCCCCUGAAGGCAGACUUAUUCCCUGAAUAUGGGAAGAUGGGGAAGAGGGUCCUUCUUGGCGAACCUCUGCUGCCAGAGGAAACAGUGCAGCCUUUAGUAGUUUGGGUUUUUUAUUCCCUUUCAAGCCACCCACUCUUCCAACGUAAAUGCCACACAAGAAGCUUGUCUAAAGCCAAACAUGCAAACACAAGGACUAGUCCUUCAUUUAACAUUCAUUCAUGCACCAUUCUGUCCAUCCAACCACCCAACAGCCUUGGGAGGGCCAAGCCAUAUGAGACACAAGCUUAGGUCUCAAACCCUCAAUACCAUAAGUGUCAGCCAUUCGACUGAACUUGGAGGGUCCUGCUAACACCAUCUUUUCUCACACUAACCCCUGGAUAAAGCUCAGUCACAAGAGGCAUCUACCUAAGAAUCAGGGGAGAGGGAAGUAGAGCUCUGACUUCUGGGAAAUAGUGAGCAACCCUAUGGAGUCAGAAUCUCCUCCCUACACACACAUACAAACACCCACAGGCACUCACACCCACCCACACACAUCUUAUAACAUGGAUGGGGGGAAAGCUGACAAGUUGGUAAAGCAGCUCAAGACUCAACCACUUAGAAGUCAACACACACACAUGCACAAACAUCCACACAUGCAUGGAUAUGCACACUCAUACCAAAUCUCCUCCCAAAUUCUCAGCUUUAUCAGGAUGAAGAUUAUAGUUAACAUGAACCUGUGCCAUGCAGGGAUUGGCCCUUGCUUUGGGCAUACUGAGGCUGCCCUAGGCCAGGAACAUGCUCAUGCAGGCACCAGAAGCCUGAUGGAAUCUGUCCACUGUCUGUCUAUCUGUCUGUUGGGCCUUGGAGUUCCAAGGCCAAGUUCUCUUUAGCAGACCCACUCCUGGGAGUGAGACAUGAGUCUCCUUAUCUUCCAUAUUCUCACCUGUAUCCAUUUGGAUUGAAUAUAAAAAAACCAAUGGGUUUUUUAGGGGUACCCUUGUCAUCACCCACAUAUCACAUUCCACCUUUACCCUCAGGAUGGGAGAGCUGGGCUCUCCACUAAGUGUUCUGCUCAGAGAAGGCACUUAAUAUUUGUUUUAUUGUUGAAUACAACUGGCCCACUAAAUCUUGCCCCUUAGUCCAGAUGCAAGAACAAUUCAUUGUUUUUCCAAAGUGACUAGGAAGAGGAGUUAGGUCAGCCUUCUCCCAUCACUGCCUUUACCUCAGAUUCACAACUCUACUGAUUGUAAAUGUUCACAAAAAAGCUCUCUCCCUCCUUUUGUUCUUCAAGUUAAAAAGUGAUGCAUUACCUUUAGUCUCAAUUUUCACCCACCCUCCUGGAGGUAAAAUCUGUAGGUUGCCAGGCCUCAGCACUCAUUGGCAGGAAGUCUAGGGAUUGUUUGCACUGACCAAGGCCCCUAUAUACAUAGCAAUAAAGCUGAAAAUGGCAUUCCCAGAAGUUUUGCCUCUGAUUGGAAUCUCCCAUUGUGCACUUUCCCUCACCCAGAAUAGGCACAGGCUUUAAGGAGUAAUCUUAUUGGUUACUGACAGUUUAGAAGGAUUUAUGAAGGGAAUUGUCACCACCCUUAUCCUUCAGAUACUUUCUCAUACUCUGUCUUCUACUCCGUCUAGGAGCUGGCGCUGGCUCCUUGGGAAAAGUCUGCCCUCUCCUGCUUAACGAAGGUCUCUUCCCAUUUAAGAGAAGUGAUGAAGCUCAAUCAGUCUGGCUGUGAUGAAAGAGCUUUCUUGGAGAAGGCUAUAAAGGGAGCAGGUCCAAGGGCUUUGUAUUGUAGACAGUCCCAGAAACAACUAAUCAUUUCUUCUUUGUAAGCUCUUCUUUGCUAGUAGUGAAUCUCUUCCCCUUUCUGCCCCCUACCCUCUCCACCAACCCAAGCAAUGGGCCAGAUGCCAACACAGACCGUGGGGACCCAAACUCAUUUAAAAUCAACCUAAGCCAUUUACCAGCUAAGAAUUCAUUGUUAUAUAUCUCCCCCUCUAAAACUGCAUCCAAGGAUUAAUAGUUUUCUAUCAUUAAUAUUUCAACUCAUCUCCCUUAGCUCUCAAGUGUGUCUGUGUAUAUGUUAUCUAUUCAUACACACAUGUAUAUGCAGAUAUUGUGGUGGACUUAGGGCAUGGGCUUAGGGAAGAGAUUUCUGAGUGGUCUCCUGAUUGGCUUUGCCCCCUGAGGCCUGGGCCUUGGAUACCUAUAAGGAAGCCUUAGGGCUGGCAGGAAAGCUCUUCAGACUCCUGAGGAAUCUGCAACAUCUUCCCCUCUGCCCACCCAAGCUAGACUGGCUUCAUCUCUUGUAGCUAGAAUUCUGUCUGUGCCUAAUAGGCAGUCACUUGAACCAUGUUCUUCUUCAAUUCCUUUGUAUUCAGGUCCUUAAUCCUAUCCCCAACUCCCUAUACCAUGGAACACUUAGCAAAUGAUGGCCUAUACUCCCCAGAAAGGGAAGGUACAUUUUUCAAAAGUAUAAAAUCUAGGGGGAAAAAUACCCCACCCCUCUGGGGGUAGGAUAGAAUGCAGAAUUAGAGGCCUUUUUAGGCAACAGCUGCUCUCUGGGGGAGAGGGCCCUCUGUGGGCUCACCUGCCCCCUUGGAAGGUUCCGAUGAAAGCCCCUCACCUGGUUUUCAGCUGGGAGCCGGGGCAUGGAGGUGGCUCUGCCCUGCCCUUCCAUAGGGAGGUAGUGGUCGCUGUCUGAGUAGCCGUCCUUCCCCAUCUCUCUCAUCUCCACAGACUGCAGGGGACACAGCAAGGGGGUGGGUGAGCCUGAGGCUUGAAGUGUGUGGAGCCAAGGGGAUCCCAAAGCACAACCAGGAGUCCUGGACACUACCUUUGGCUUCUCACACCCUACUGGCCAAUCAGACUGACAGAGAGAUGCUUUUGUGCUGAAUACUUUAUAAGUGAUUCACACACAAUGUCAGAAUAUUUAGUUCCCAUGGGCUUUUAUCCCAGGCUUUCCUAGCCAGUUAGUUACAUGUAGCUUGUUCUAUACCUCUGGUUUCAGGCCUCUUUUUUCCCUGACUACUUUUGGGCUGGGGUUGAGAAAAAAGAAUUCUAAAUUACUUCCAAAAUCUCUGCAUAUCUGGACCAGCCCUGGGGAGAAGAGGGGAAGUUGAAUUUAGCAUCCAGUAGAUUGACCAACUAUUUCAUUAUAGCUUCAUGGUCUGGUGGCUCAUCUCAUUUGCCUUUCUUACCAGAAGAAAAGGGGAUCUGAGCUAACUCAAUAGAAAUGACUGUGAAAAAUUAAAUAGAAAGGAGUGUGAGGCAUUUUAACUUGUUUUUGGUUUUUCUUUUUGCUACCUUCUGCCCUCCUCCCAUGUAUCCCCUGGCCUCUCUGUCCCUUAGCUUGGGAAAUGAGAACUGAUGACAGUCUACUUAUUCCUGGCAGAAAAAGCUCGGGGAGGCUGCUAGAAGCCAGCUGACUUCUAUUCUCUCUUUGAGGAAGUGAGACCUUUAUCUUACUAUGAGCAGAAAUAUGGAUCAUCCUUAACUAUAAAGUAUAAAUGGUUUUGUAAAAUCACAAUUUAAGGUUUAUGGGAAAUCUUUCCCCUGGGAUUUGUCUGGCAUCUGAGGUAUGUCAUCAAAAGGAACUUGGGGAAAUGGGGUGGGCUGAUGACCUUCCCUUAAAAUAGCAGUGUUGUUCUUUGGAUUGAAGGUAUGUUUUAUACCUCUGUAUGGCAAAUUAUCACAGUAUUUAGAGCUGGAAAGACCUUUGGGAUCGUCUGGUCCAUUCCCUUCAUUUUACAGAUGAGGAAACAGAGGCAGCAAGUAGCAUAAUCAGGGCCCAAGCCCAGAUUCUCUCUAAACCCAGUGCCUUUUCUUCUAUACUAGGAUGCUUUCUGAGAUCCACAGAUAGUACUCAGCCCAGGACACAGGAUCUCAGCAAAAGGCAACAGCUUUGCAACAAGAAGAAAAAGAAGGCAUCCUGUCUGUCUGUAGGGACUAUAAGCCAUGGGAUGAGGUACUAGGCUGGUUGAAGGCUAAAAGGUUCCUCAUGGCAACUAGACCCAUAUAUUUGUAACAGGAGAUGAUAGAGCAAAGAACGUGGAGCCAGUCUUAACAAGUGGCUCAUUAAUAUGUUUUAGACAAACAGACUAGGACAGAAAAAUACGGGUCAGAGGUGAAGGCUGGACUCCCAGGUGUCUUGAGGGACAAAGACCUUUUAAGAGUGGCAAAAGGAAAUUCUCUGUAAGAGAGAGCUCUCGAGGUCUGAUUGACUAACUUAUGCUCACAGGAUUUAGUAAGGGAUGCUAAAGACCAGAGAGGUUAUGAGUUGCUCAAGGUCACCCUGCUAGGACAGUAGGGCAGAUCUUGCAGCUAUGGUUAGAUCCAGUGCUCUCUGAACUCUACCCAAUGCAGGAUCUCUCCAAUAUGCUAGUUUAGACACAGCUCUGGACUCCAGAAAGAGUCAAGAGAAAUAAGAAUUCAAAUGAUGGUUUGUAGCAGCUCUGGAAUCCUAGUUAUAUCAUGUUAUCUCUGUGAGCCACAGUUGCCUCAUCUAUAAAAUGGGGAUAUUAUUUUGAGGAGGUUAUUUUGAAGAAAGCACUAUGGAAAUGGGAGGAUUUUGUAAUUUUUUUUUUUGCAGAUACUAUGGAAUGGAGGGUCAGAAGCAGUCACCUUAAAGGUUGUGUGUCAGCCAAGCCAAGUUGUGUCUGUAUGUGGCUAUGUAUACUUAUGAUAGGAUAAGAGGUCUAUCUUCUGUAAAUAUUUCUGUUUCUACUUUCCCCUUUAUUGUUCACCUAGUAAGGCCCCUCUCUGAAAGAGUUUUGUCUUCAUCAAGGCCAAGAGAGGCUAGAAGUAGAAGGAGAGUGGCCCUUGAGACUGUGUUAUUCUUUAGGUUUGGACUAUUAGGGAGGGAGUCAAUUUCAUACCGUUUCUUCCUUUACCACUGACCCCUACCCAUCCUGUACCUCCCAUGUUGCUUCCUCCUUGGCUCAGUGCCCUCCCCCCCAAGCAAAGUAGGAAGUAGCAAACAAGACGACCCUUUGUGGGCCCAUUUGGGCAGGAGGACAUAGGUACCUGAGAGCUGGGUCGGCUAUUGGGCAAAUCAUCAGGAGGCCCUCGUUCAGGGCUCCACGUCCCCGUCUUCUGGAACAUCUCUUGGGCACGUUGGGUCACCCAAGAUGGACUCUCCUUCAUGCCACCUUCAUGGGCCAGACUGCAGAAGCGAGAUAGAGAAAUAAACAGUAAGUUUCCCUCUGGGGGACUCAACAGACACUAUACCCACACUGCUCCUAAACAUUCUGUGUUUUGGUUAAGAAAUUUGAAGUCUGUGUCUUAUUCCCUCUCCAAGAUUAUGAGCUCUUGGAGAGCAAGGUUUUCAUCUCUAUGGAGGUGCUCAGCAAAUAUCUGUUAAAUUGAAAUUAAAGUGGCAGGGUGGUCUCUUGGCCUACUCUUCUGUACUGCUUUUCCGUAGGAGCAAGGCACUCUACUGGCCUCUCAACAGGAUAAUCUUAUCUAAGUGCUAGGGGACCAGCACAUUAGGGAACCCUUUUCCCCAAACCAACCCCUUUCCUUACUGUCAGCUCUAUCCCUUGAAGAAGGGACCAAGUUUUCCCACUCCAUUCCCUUGGGCUGACUCCCAAUGUGGUCUAGAUCUUUUAAAUGCACACCUCCUUCUGAGUAAACAUGAACACUCAAAUUGUUUGGAUGAUGUGGGGAGUCACCAAUUACAUCCUUUUGGAAAGAUGGAGGGCAGCUGGGCCUUACCAAAUUCUCUGCCUCUAAACUUUACCAUCUCCCCUAGGCAGUAGUGAUUACCUCUCUGGUACUGUUAUCAGACCGACUGUUGCACUCUUAGGACUAGGGUUGGUUUUUUUCCCCAUAUAUCCUUCGGCUGGAUCCUCUCCUAUCUCUCUACUAAUUAGAAUAAAAAACUCAUUAAGCAGA